RNAcentral lists this long non-coding RNA (1858 nucleotides) under Ananas comosus (pineapple). RNAcentral describes it as "long non-coding RNA (ACOM_LNC027075)". The record is from RNAcentral. Lineage: Eukaryota; Viridiplantae; Streptophyta; Magnoliopsida; Poales; Bromeliaceae.
CCCCCACUAUUUUUCAGGUAUCGUGGGCAGUGAGGGUUGAGACGAGACGUGAGAUACGUAGCGGUCGAUAGAGCUUCCGACCCAGGUUAUUGCGGUUUAGUUAUUACCCCUUUUAUUUCUGUUGAUGUAUAGUUUAGUUGGUUUAUGUGGUUCAGUAUUUCAUUACGUUAAAAUAAAAGGAUUUCUGGAUUUUGUAAAAUAAAAGAUUUUCUACCCCUCGUGGUAGCGUUUUUAAAAGAUAAAAGUUCCCGUGUAGGGAACAGCUUUCAAAAGGUUUUCUGUGAUUUUGUAUCUUAGUAUUUCAAAACCUGUUUCUGUGGUUGGAAACAUUUUAACUAAUAGGUAUGGAUUUAUGUUUAAAUGUUGAAUGCAUGAGUGUGAAUCUGUGGUGAAUGGUGUAUGAAUAUAUAUAACGGUUCGUUAUUUGUAUGUUCAUUUGUUGUGGUUGUGCCUGGGUGACUUCUUGUACUUGUGCGACGCCGUGCAAAUACAGGGGAGACUCUGUACGUGUGACCAGUGGAUUUCCUGUAUUUGUGGCGGAUCUGGCAUACUCUGGGGUCAGAUUUUCAAAAAAAAAAUUCAGACGCUUUUCCGCUUUCUCUUAAACUGAAAAGGGACCCCGGGGCGUGACAAAAACUUUCAAUCAAAACUUUCUAUUAAUGUAUUUAAAUGAUUCCACUAACAAAACUUUCCAUUAAUGUAUUUAAAAGGUCCUACUACCAUCUACAAUUCUAUCAUUUUUAUCUACAAUUAUUCAUCAUGACCAUUUCCAUUUCCUUCACUAUAUUUUCAAUUAAUGUAAAUGUCCCACUACCAAACUUUCAAUUGGUAUGCUUAAAUGGUCUCACUACCAUCGACAAUCCUAACCUCUCUAUCUGUAAUUAUUCAUUAUGGCUCUUUUCCUUCCCUCCAUCAGACUUUUAAUUUUUUAUCUCCAAUCAAUUCAUCAAUUCUCUAUCUCUCAUCUUUUGUUAUACACCAUCAUCUCCUUCCCUCGCUCUCUCCCUCUCUCUCACUAAUGCGUGCUCACUUUCCCUUUCCAUCACGACGUUUGUUGGAUAUAUUAAGUGAGAUACACAAAAAGAAUGUUUAAUAUUUUUUUAUUAUUAAUUAUUACUAUAAUUUCUACCCGCUGUAAAGCACAGGCUACUUCACUAGUAUAUAUAUAUAUAUAUAUAGAGUCCGGCUAUGGUGCUUGUAAAAGCACCAAGCACAUGGUACUUGUAAGUUUUUUACCUUUAGAUCUACAUCUUUAAUCAUUUUCAACCGUUAGAUUAUACUAUUCAACCAAUUACCCACUCAACCCUAGGAGGCCUACAUCAUCCUAACCGCACAUCCCUUAAUCCAAGGGCCCAAAACUUACAAGUACCAAUGACUUGGUACUUUUAAAAGCAUAGGAGCUCAAUUCUAUAUAUAUAUAUAUAUAGAAAGAGAGAGAGAGAGAGAGAGAGAGCCCAGCUACUAUCCUCUUAAGAGGAUAGGAACAUUUGUCCUAUCAAGUCAUUUUGGAUGAUCGAGACUUCAAAUUGAUAAUCGGCACGUUGAAAUUGAUCUACACAAUUAGAAAUGUUUAAAAACCGAAUUUUAUAAUUUUUAAAAAUCAUUAUCAAACCCAUUGAAGAGUCAAAAAAUGAACGGUCAAAGACAAAUGACCUUCUGAAAACAAAGGUUGGACUUUCUCAAUUUACGAUUGGAGUUAUUAAACAUUAUCUAAAUAGUAUAAAGAAUCUUCUAUCAAAAAUUCAACCGGUUUGGAUUACUCUACACCGUUAAACAAGCAAACGGCUCAUAUAGGCCGUCAAAAAUUGUCAAUUUCCAGCUGCCUGUCAGACAUCGUGCGCCGCUUUUCUGGAUUCGU